Myotis brandtii (Brandt's bat) is the source of this 102-nucleotide long non-coding RNA. RefSeq lists it as uncharacterized. The transcript has 3 exons. NCBI's taxonomy places the organism in Eukaryota, Metazoa, Chordata, Mammalia, Chiroptera, Vespertilionidae. The record is from RefSeq and is a predicted model, not a curated record.
UCCUAAGGCUUAGGAAGAGCCACACUCAAGGGGCCAAAGAGCCGCAUGUGGCUCACGAGCCUCAGUUUACUGACCACGGAUCUAGGAUACUGAAUGAACAUG